UUGCACAAUGGGCGCAAGCCUGAUGCAGCGACGCCGCGUGGAUGAUGAAGGCCUUCGGGUUGUAAAGUCCGGUAAGCAGGGAAGAAUAAGCAACGGGUAAUAUUCGUUGUGAUGACGGUACCUGCCUAAAGCCCCGGCUAACUACGUGCCAGCAGCCGCGGUAAUACGUAUGGGGCAAGCGUUGUUCGGACUUAUUGGGCGUAAAGGGCGUCUAGGCGGGGGAUUAAGUUAGAGGUGAAAGCUACGGGCUCAACCCGUAAAAUGCAACUAAGACUGAUGCUCUUGAGUCCGGGAGAGGAGAGCGGAAUUCCAGGUGUAGCGGUGAAAUGCGUAGAUAUCUGGAAGAACACCAGUGGCGAAGGCGGCUCUCUGGCCUAGGACUGACGCUGAAGCGCGAAAGCGUGGGGAGC
This 410-nucleotide ribosomal RNA is filed under the name uncultured bacterium. RNAcentral describes it as "bacterial SSU rRNA". It matches the Rfam family "Bacterial small subunit ribosomal RNA", at positions 364 to 769 of the family's 1533-position model. The record is from RNAcentral.